CGGACGGGUGAGUAACGCGUAGGAAUCUACCUGGUAGUGGGGGACAACAUGUGGAAACGCAUGCUAAUACCGCAUACGACCUAAGGGUGAAAGUGGGGGACCUUCGGGCCUCACGCUACCAGAUGAGCCUGCGUAAGAUUAGCUAGUUGGUGGGGUAAAGGCUCACCAAGGCGACGAUCUUUAGCUGGUCUGAGAGGAUGAUCAGCCACACUGGGACUGAGACACGGCCCAG
Molecule: ribosomal RNA, 232 nt
Filed under: uncultured bacterium
Lineage: Bacteria
Description: partial 16S ribosomal RNA
Rfam family: Bacterial small subunit ribosomal RNA
Source: RNAcentral